Long non-coding RNA from Rosa rugosa (rugosa rose), 631 nucleotides. RefSeq lists it as uncharacterized. Lineage: Eukaryota; Viridiplantae; Streptophyta; Magnoliopsida; Rosales; Rosaceae. The record is from RefSeq and is a predicted model, not a curated record. The transcript is spliced from 2 exons.
CUAGAGAGAGAUAUAUCUAUUUGAGUAAAAUAAUAAGGGAUGUUGAUUGGACUUUGGGUUUGGUAUAAGCACAAGGCUGAGAAAGAAAAAAGAACAAAGAAAACAAUUAAUCACAAGGUCGUAAGAACUUACAUCCUUCUUUGUUUGCAGUGUGUUAAAAUUACUUAUGUAUUGAUUGUUCAUCUUAUAUUUUGUUCUCUUUUACACUUGGCACAUGAUUUUGACAAAAUACUUUAUAUUUCCAGAAAAUAUGAGGAGAUCUAUGCACCCCUGGUUGAAGAAUUUUGUUACAUUACUUAUAGGGUCCCUUAUUGAUAACACAUGUUUUAAGGAAAGAGUGGGCAGUAAAGGCGCGCAAAUCAUAUAGCCAAAAUGAUAUUGACGAGGUGUGCAUUGAAGUGGCUGAUUAUAUACAGAGUUUGGUGUAAGACUUUUGGCUUCCAUGAUUUUGAGUAAGGCUAGUUUUUGCUUUGAAGCAAAGUUUGGUGUAGAACGUACUUUUGUAGUUGGUUGCUAAUAUGUUUCUAAGCUAGCCUUUGUAGGUUUUGGGUUUUAUUUUGUGAAUUAUGUUGAAUCAUGAAUUUGGAAAGAAAAUUAAUGGAAAGCUCCAAUUUUUGGGUGAUGAGAAAUG